UUGUCAAUGAUGAUUUUUCCACCAUGUUUGAGAGAAUAAUGAAACUAUUCGAAACAUGCACUACCAUCUGAUGACAG
Molecule: small nucleolar RNA, 77 nt
Organism: Mya arenaria
Lineage: Eukaryota; Metazoa; Mollusca; Bivalvia; Myida; Myidae
Source: RefSeq, a predicted model, not a curated record